CUCAGCAACACAUAGACUAAAAUAAACUGAAACCAUACAGAGAAAAUUAGCAUUGUCCCUGUACAAGGAUGACAUGAAAAUUCAUGAAGUUUCUUUUCUCUCU
This is a small nuclear RNA of Chiloscyllium plagiosum (whitespotted bambooshark), 103 nucleotides long. NCBI's taxonomy places the organism in Eukaryota, Metazoa, Chordata, Chondrichthyes, Orectolobiformes, Hemiscylliidae. The record is from RefSeq and is a predicted model, not a curated record.